This is a non-coding RNA of Arthromyces matolae, 82 nucleotides long. The record is from the annotation of a GenBank genome assembly. NCBI's taxonomy places the organism in Eukaryota, Fungi, Basidiomycota, Agaricomycetes, Agaricales, Lyophyllaceae.
UCCGGUAUGGUGUAACGGCUAACAUUGCCGCCUUUCAUAUGAUUGCGCGCGGCAGCUCGGGGUUCGAUUCCCCGUACCGGAG